RNAcentral lists this transfer RNA (71 nucleotides) under Histiona aroides. RNAcentral's name for it is "tRNA-Cys". It matches the Rfam family "tRNA". Rfam says of the family: Transfer RNA (tRNA) molecules are approximately 80 nucleotides in length. Lineage: Eukaryota; Jakobea; Jakobida; Histionidae. The record is from RNAcentral.
GGCUGCGUAACAUAGUGGUAAUGUAGUAGACUGCAAAUCUAUAAAUAGCGGUUCGAUUCCGCUCGCAGCCU